Delphinapterus leucas (beluga whale) is the source of this 103-nucleotide small nuclear RNA. The record is from Ensembl. Lineage: Eukaryota; Metazoa; Chordata; Mammalia; Artiodactyla; Monodontidae.
UUGCUUUGGCAGCACAUAUACUAAAAUUGGAACCAUGCAGAGAAGAUUAGCUUGGCCCCUGUUCAAGGAAGACACACAAAUUCGUGAAGCGUUCCAUGUUUUU